Molecule: long non-coding RNA, 895 nt
Filed under: Numida meleagris (helmeted guineafowl)
Lineage: Eukaryota; Metazoa; Chordata; Aves; Galliformes; Numididae
Description: lncRNA (ENSNMEG00000002407.1)
Source: RNAcentral
AGCAUCGCCAUCCAGUCCCAUUGCAAAUCCCAUUCCCCUUUCCCCUUUCCCUGUGGUAUCUCCCUCCAGUCCCCUUCCAAUUCCCCUUCCCAUUCCCAUGCGCAAUAUCCCACCAAUCGCAUUGCCAUUCCCCUUUCCCCUUCCCCUGAGGCAUCUCCUUCCAGUCCCAUUCCCAUUCCCCUUCCCCUGCAGCAUUUCCCUCCAGUGCCCUUCCUAUUCCCUUUCCCCUUCCCCUGAGGCAUCUCCCUCCAAUCCCAUUCAAAAUCCCAUUCCCCAUUCCACUUGCCCUGCAGCAUCGCCCUCCAGUCCCAUUGAAAAUCCCAUUCCCCUUUCCCCUUUCCCUGUGGCAUCUCCCUCCAAUCCGCUUCCUAUUCCCUUUCCACUUCCCCUGAGGCAUGUCCCUCCAAUACCAUUCCAAAUCCCAUUCCCCUUUCCCCUUCCCCUGAGACAUCUCCCUCCAGUCCCAUUCCAAAUCCCAUUCAACUUUCCCUUUUCCCUGUGGCAUCUCCCUCCAGUCCCCUUCCAAUUCCCCUUCCCAUUCCCCUCCGACAUAUCCCACCACUCCCAUUCCCAUUCCCCUUUCCCCUUCCCCUGCAGCAUCUCCCUCCAGUUCCAUUCCCAUUCCCCGUCUCCCUCUGCACCCUCUGCCACCUGUUGCAUUCCCCGUCCCCUUCCCGAUGGGAUCUCCCUCCACUCCCAUUCCCGUUCCCCCUUCCCCUUUCCCUGUGCUAUCUCCCUCCAGUCCCCUUCCAAUUCCCAUUCCCCUUCCCCUGCGCCAUAUCCCACCACUCCCAUUCCAAAUCCCAUUCCCCUUUCCCCUUCCCCUGAGGCAUCUCCCUCCAAUCCCAUUUCAAAUCCCAUUCCCCUUUCCCCUUUCCCUGUGCCAUCUCCCUCC